RNAcentral lists this ribosomal RNA (1432 nucleotides) under metagenome. RNAcentral's name for it is "bacterial LSU rRNA". It matches the Rfam family "Bacterial large subunit ribosomal RNA", at positions 1498 to 2925 of the family's 2925-position model. The record is from RNAcentral.
UUGAUAUCCCGGUUUAGUUGGAAGUAGGCGAUGGGUAGGCAAAUCCGCCCGUCAUAUACCGAGGCCAACGAUCGAGCCAGCUUGCUGGUGAAGUGACUGAACGAGGUUCCAGGAAAAGCCACUAAGCUUCAGCUAUACACGACCGUACCGCAAACCGACACUGGUGCGCGAGAUGAGUAUUCUAAGGCGCUUGAGAGAACUCAGGAGAAGGAACUCGGCAAAUUGACACCGUAACUUCGGAAGAAGGUGUGCCCUAUUAGUGUGAAGUGAACAACGGAGCAUGAAUGGGUUGCAAAAAAUCGGUGGCUGCGACUGUUUAUUAAAAACACAGCACUCUGCAAACACGAAAGUGGACGUAUAGGGUGUGACGCCUGCCCGGUGCUGGAAGAUUAAAUGAUGGGGUGCAAGCUCUUGAUUGAAGUCCCAGUAAACGGCGGCCGUAACGAUAACGGUCCUAAGGUAGCGAAAUUCCUUGUCGGGUAAGUUCCGACCUGCACGAAUGGCGUAACGAUGGCCACACUGUCUCCUCCUGAGACUCAGCGAAGUUGAAAUGUUUGUGAUGAUGCAAUCUCCCCGCGGAAAGACGGAAAGACCCCAUGAACCUUUACUGUAGCUUUGUAUUGGACUUUGAACAGAUCUGUGUAGGAUAGGUGGGAGGCUUUGAAGCAGGGUCGCUAGAUCUUGUGGAGCCAACGUUGAAAUACCACCCUGGUGUGUUUGAGGUUCUAACCUAGGUCCAUUAUCUGGAUCGGGGACAGUGCAUGGUAGGCAGUUUGACUGGGGCGGUCUCCUCCCAAAGCGUAACGGAGGAGUUCGAAGGUACGCUAGUUACGGUCGGACAUCGUGACGAUAGUGCAAUGGCAUAAGCGUGCUUAACUGCGAGACUGACAAGUCGAGCAGAUGCGAAAGCAGGACAUAGUGAUCCGGUGGUUCUGUAUGGAAGGGCCAUCGCUCAACGGAUAAAAGGUACUCUGGGGAUAACAGGCUGAUACCGCCCAAGAGUUCAUAUCGACGGCGGUGUUUGGCACCUCGAUGUCGGCUCAUCUCAUCCUGGGGCUGUAGCCGGUCCCAAGGGUAUGGCUGUUCGCCAUUUAAAGAGGUACGUGAGCUGGGUUUAAAACGUCGUGAGACAGUUUGGUCCCUAUCUUCCGUGGGCGCUGCAGAUUUGAGGAAGCCUGCUCCUAGUACGAGAGGACCGGAGUGGACACACCUCUGGUGUAUCGGUUGUCACGCCAGUGGCAUUGCCGAGUAGCUAAGUGUGGAAGAGAUAACCGCUGAAAGCAUCUAAGCGGGAAACUCGUUUCAAGAUGAGAUCUGCCGGGGCCUUGAGCCCCCUGAAGAGUCGUUCAAGACCAGGACGUUGAUAGGUCAGGUGUGGAAGCGCAGUAAUGCGUUAAGCUAACUGAUACUAAUUGCUCGUGCGGCUUGACCA